Molecule: long non-coding RNA, 764 nt
Filed under: Solanum tuberosum (potato)
Lineage: Eukaryota; Viridiplantae; Streptophyta; Magnoliopsida; Solanales; Solanaceae
Description: long non-coding RNA (STUB_LNC007469)
Source: RNAcentral
GCUUGGUCUACUAUGUAUAAGAAGUAAUCAACUCUAAAUUAUUCGGGCUGCUGCAAUAUAUUUUUCUCCAAAUUUAAAAUAUAAAUUAUCAAUAGAACAAGUAAAAUUCAUAAGCUUUGAAUAAGAGAGAUGUAAGAUUAGAAUUUAGAGAAGAGAAGUGAGAAUAAAUAGAAGAGAUGAAGGGAGGAGGAUAGAAUAUAUAAAAAUAAAAUUAGAAAAAAAAUAACUUGUACAUUAAAAAAAAGUACACAACAUUUUAUUGGAAAGUUAAAAAGUCAUAGUCAUAACUCAUAUAUAUCACUUCAGCUGUUUGCAUUUUUUUUCCAUCCGUUUGCAUUUAUUAUUGUCUUCAUUCUAAUUUUUUUUAAUUUAAUCUUACCCAAUUAACUAAAAAAUGGGCUCCUCUAAAAUUGGGGGCCUAAGGCCAAGGACUUUUCCUUAAGCCUAACCAGCCGCCCCUAUGUCAAGAGUGUUCAAAAUAUGUUAUUUAACCACUUUGUUUAUCAUUUUACUUAUAUAUACGGUAUAAUUUUCCGACGAAGGGUGUCCAAUAUAAGGGUGGCUACGCCACUGGCUGAGUGACUAUUAAUUUUCCUAAAGACCCUGAGCUCAAGUGCAACAAUUCAUUCUGCUGAUUGGACAUACCCUCUCUGGUAGAAUGACGUUAGUGAACUUAAGAUUGCUCUUUGUGGUGGCAGAACAGUUUUGAGGUGUACCCUGCAACUUGACGCUACGGAACUCAUCCCAUGUUAGGUCGGUAAACU